This 497-nucleotide ribosomal RNA is filed under the name uncultured bacterium. RNAcentral describes it as "partial 16S ribosomal RNA". It matches the Rfam family "Bacterial small subunit ribosomal RNA", at positions 28 to 507 of the family's 1533-position model. The record is from RNAcentral.
GAUGAACGCUGGCGGCGUGCCUAAUACAUGCAAGUCGAGCGAACGGACGAGAAGCUUGCUUCUCUGAUGUUAGCGGCGGACGGGUGAGUAACACGUGGAUAACCUACCUAUAAGACUGGGAGAACUUCGGGAGACCGUAGCUAAUACCGGAUAAUAUUUUGAACCGGAGGGAUCAAAAGUGAAAGACGGUUUUGCUGUCACUUAUAGAUGGAUCCGCGCUGCAUUAGCUAGUUGGUAAGGUAACGGCUUACCAAGGCAACGAUGCAUAGCCGACCUGAGAGGGUGAUCGGCCACACUGGAACUGAGACACGGUCCAGACUCCUACGGGAGGCAGCAGUAGGGAAUCUUCCGCAAUGGGCGAAAGCCUGACGGAGCCGCGCCGCGUGAGUGAUGAAGGUCUUCGGAUCGUAAAACUCUGUUAUUAGGGAAGAACAUAUGUGUAAGUAACUGUGCACAUCUUGACGGUACCUAAUCAGAAAGCCCCGGCUAACUACGUG